Molecule: long non-coding RNA, 1223 nt
Organism: Gordionus sp. m RMFG-2023
Lineage: Eukaryota; Metazoa; Nematomorpha; Gordioida; Chordodea; Parachordodidae
Exons: 3
Source: RefSeq, a predicted model, not a curated record
AUUGUUUUCUUCCAGAAUAAUUUCGAUAUAACGCUUUAAUUAAUUUAUACGCUCAUGAAACCUGAUUAGCAAUAUGAAAGUUAGAAAAAGAGCAAAUGGCAAACAUACCAUGUCCUUCGAUGAAAGUUAUAUUAUGUGGGGAUUUUGGUGUUGGGAAAACAGCAAUUUUCAAAAGGUUUGCAAAUAAAAAUAAAUCAGACCCAGAAAAUAAUAUAUUCAUUAAUCUCGAUCACAUCGAAAAUAAGUUCCAAAUUUCAUCUUCCGAAAGUAUCAAAAUACAACUUUGGGACACUGCACAGCUUGAAAAAUGGUCAUCCAUUCCUAAUAGUUAUUAUAAAUACUCAGAUGCCGCAAUUUUAGUUUAUUCUCUCAAUGAUAUUAAAACUUUUAAAUCACUUCCCCAAUAUAUACUUGAUAUUGUAGAAAAUUCUCCUAAAUGUAAAUAUUUUUAUCUGUGUGGAAAUAAAAAUAAUUUAAAUGCAAGUAAUCAAGAUGAUAAUCUUGUUACAAAAAGAAUGUUGGAUAAUUUUAUUACUGACUGUGGAAAUAUGAAAAUUAAAUCAUACACAUUAUCAACUAUAUCUCCAGAAAAAAUAAAGCUAAACAUUGAAUUUGAGUCAAUGUUUCAGGAUAUAGCAAAAGAUUUAAAUACAUCUUAUAGACAAAGUCAAGUAAUUCAAUUUAAUCCAGCCUUAUUGAAAAUAAUUAAGGAUAAUCCAUUAUAUGAUAAAAAUGAAACUAAUAAUUGUAAUUAUUGUUAAAAAAAGAAGAUAGCAGAAAUAAUUAAAAUUAUGUAUUAUUUAAUCAAAAAUUCUCAAAAUAUACCAGUGACUUAAUGCAAUACUUACUUAAUUUUUAUAAAAAAUUGCUGCAUAAUUAAACUUUUUUAAAAUAAAUGAUGUAUUUUUUUUUUCAAUUUAAUAUUCAAAAAUAAAUAUUAAUAUUGUCAUUUGGAUAUAUUUAGAGAAAUCCUAUUAAAUUUUUAAUUUCAACAAGAUUUCUACUAGCAACAACUUUAGCUAGUUCAGACCCCUCAUUUAUAAUGUCACAUAAAUUCAUAAAUUUUUUGUCAUCCAUGAUUUUGUUAUUUUCUGGAUCAUGUGGUAAUAAGUCCAAUAUUUUAGUCCUGAUUGGCAAUAAUUCUUUGAUCAAUAAAUGGGAUAUCUCUUCCUUCAUAUGUUUCACUGAGUCAAAUGUGAUCUUGAUAUUGUUAUUAAAUACAA